AGGAUGCGAGCGUUAUCCGGAUUUAUUGGGUUUAAAGGGUGCGUAGGCGGACUGGAAAGUCAGCGGUAAAAUCGAGAGGCUCAACCUCUUUCCGCCGUUGAAACUGUCGGUCUUGAGUGGGCGAGAAGUAUGCGGAAUGCGUGGUGUAGCGGUGAAAUGCAUAGAUAUCACGCAGAACUCCGAUUGCGAAGGCAGCAUACCGGCGCCCGACUGACGCUGAGGCACGAAAGCGUGGGUAUCGAACAGGAUUAG
This 252-nucleotide ribosomal RNA is filed under the name uncultured bacterium. RNAcentral describes it as "partial 16S ribosomal RNA". It matches the Rfam family "Bacterial small subunit ribosomal RNA", at positions 529 to 781 of the family's 1533-position model. The record is from RNAcentral.